Molecule: long non-coding RNA, 2287 nt
Organism: Pipra filicauda (Wire-tailed manakin)
Lineage: Eukaryota; Metazoa; Chordata; Aves; Passeriformes; Pipridae
Exons: 4
Source: RefSeq, a predicted model, not a curated record
AACGUGGCAUUUACAGCCAUGCUUAAAUCCAACAGCUUCCUAAACCUCACAUUAUUUGAAGUUUGGGUCUGAUCAGCUGAGGUUCAUCUUCCCUUCAGUGUAAAAACUGAAUCACUUUUGGUUGAAGAAGUCGCAGCUACAACCUCCCAUUGCUGAAUUCAGUGUUACAAUCACUACAUCUGGUUCUACAUUAACUCCUUCUGAAAUGAGUGGUGGAGGUCAAAUAUUGGGCUAAUUAAACUAAAUUAAGGCUUUGCUUAAGAGACACAAUGUGAAGAUGCCUUGCUGGAUAGGAAAGUACUGUGUGAUAGACUUGGAAGCCUCCUCCAGAACAUGGCCCCAGGCUUUCAGGCUGUCCUCAGAGGGCACUGCUUUCUGUGCCUUUAUCUUGCACUCAGUGGGUAUCAAUAACUCCAGCAUUUCCUUGCCAAGAAGCUUUCUCCCAGGGGUUUUAUAGCCAUUUAACAUAAAGCUGGUAGUAACAUUGUCUGCUGGCUGAGACUGUCCAGAAUUAAACAAGAUUGAAUGCAGAAAGGAUAUUUAUCUUCAGCAAACUCAAACAUUUGAGAGUAUAAUAGAAUUGGAAGAAGAUCUAGAAAAUUAAAAAGAAGGGACAUUCUUCCACUUUGAUGAGGUGCUGAAGGAGCUUUCAGUCAAAGGAAAACCCAUUUUCAUUUGUCAGCUGGCCAGGUUAUUGUUAUCAUGUCUUCAAGUUCAAAGAACAGAAGGAAGAGGGCAAAGGAAUCUUCUCCAGCCCUGUAAGGCAUGGCAGUGACACCUGGUUCUUGGCAUUGCUGUGACAGAGCCCUGGGUAAUCAGUCAGAGAAGGGAAAUAUAUUAGAAAAUGUACCUUGUGUUAGAAAAAGUACCCAUAUGUUCUGUAUAGAGUGAUUUCCCUUGGUGUCUCUCUGGAGAUUUCUGGAAGUUUCUCCUGGAUUGUCCAAAGUCCCUCCACUAAAUCAGCGCUUGAGCCACGCUCAAACUUCCUGUGACCAUGCUGUGCUUCAGCAUCUCUGACCUAAAUAACAUAUUAUAGAUAAUAGAAUUAAGAUUUUUUUUUUAAACCAGUAAUAGUUUAAAUUACUUCAGAUUUUUCUUUUUCCAUCUGUCCACCCAUUCCUUUCCCUUGCAUCUAUUCUUCUCAUAAAACUCAUAUUUUUCCCUCCAUUAUCUUUCAUCCUGCUCUUCCCUGAGCCCUCUUUUGUCCUUUCUGACCUAUCUUCCCACUUAAAAUACUUUCUUCCUGGCCUCAUGGAGCAUUGCCAUGGUGACCACAUGACGUCAUUGCACUGGGAACAGUUGCCUAGGAAACCAUAUGAUGUCAUUACACUGGAGACAGUUGCCAUGGUUACUGAGUUGGCUGAGGGAACUGGGAAAAAGAGUUUGUCAUCUGACCAGUGCCAGGAAAUGUUCCCAUUAAUGGCAAUAAAGGAGAGACCUUUAUUUAUAUUUAUGUUUUUAUGUUCCAGGGAGGGCUGCCUGUGACUCAAAGACCCCAUUGGUUUUUCUGGGAUAAUGUGCUGUGGCUGGGCUUUUGCCUCUGGGCUGUGGGAUCUUGCUCACCUGUUUCUGCUGUUCAGUGUUACUGUGAACAUCAAGCCACAAGGAAAUGGAGAAAAGCUGUGUUGUCCUGUGGUUCUGUGUCAGAUGGGAUUGCAACUUCUGUUGCUGUUUGAUCUGUCCUGUUUGGUUCCUUUGGUUUCUGAGAUAAAUAGCCCAGCCCAGUAUUUAUCCCAGCAGAUGUACAGUAACAGGGAAUGUCAUAGCUGAGCUUGCUUCUUCUGCACCAGGCUCUAUGUGAGUCUGUAAUUUGUUUUCCACUUCUUUCCUGCCUUUCCCAAUUUCUGUUUCAUCAUUGCUGACACGUACCUGUCUUGUUUUAAUAAUUCCAGGAGUUCCCAGAAAUGUCCUACAUGAAAGGUGAAGCAGAGGUUAAAUAAAAAGUUGGAGGCAGCUGCUAAAGACAAGUAAGUGCCCUGCAGAUGCUCUGGAGUUCACGAGACACCAGUUACAGACUUCCCACUGAAGUUCAUGAAAUGAACCCUUCUCUGCUCCCCCUGGGUCCUGUCCUCCUCAAGCUGAAAAUCAAAAUCCAGAAUAAAACUCGUGCAGUUCCUAUGGAGCUGCAAACAAAGAUGCAGUCAGAGAAACUACACGGAGUGGUGGUGGCAGGCCAGAUGGCAAGGAACAGAACAGCUCUUGGAGGUGGAAAGCAGCAGCCAGUGAGCGUUGGGAGCUCCCAGCAGUCAGAAUAUCCCGAGCUGGAAGGGACCCACAAGGAUCGUCA